Molecule: ribosomal RNA, 388 nt
Filed under: uncultured organism
Description: bacterial SSU rRNA
Rfam family: Bacterial small subunit ribosomal RNA
Source: RNAcentral
UGCUUAACACAUGCAAGUCGAACGGCAGCAUGAUCUGUAGCAAUACAGAUUGAUGGCGAGUGGCGGACGGGUGAGUAACGCGUAGGGAUCUGCCCUAAAGAGGGGGACAACCCGAGGAAACUCGGGCUAAUACCGCAUAAGCUCUGCGGGGGAAAGGCUGGGGAAACCUGGCGCUUUAGGAGGAACCUGCGUCUGAUUAGCUAGUUGGUGGGGUAAUGGCCUACCAAGGCGACGAUCAGUAGCCGGCCUGAGAGGGUGUCCGGCCACACUGGGACUGAGACACGGCCCAGACUCCUACGGGAGGCAGCAGUGGGGAAUAUUGCGCAAUGGACGAAAGUCUGACGCAGCGACGCCGCGUGAGCGUCAAGUCUUUCGGGAUGUAAAGCUC